GCGGUUACCUCGGGGUGCUCUGACAACAGGGCUGAGAUGCGAAAGCGGACCCGUUGAACCUGAACCGGUUAAGACCGGCGGAGGGAAGGUGCAGAGUUGAUCC
This 103-nucleotide non-coding RNA is filed under the name Marivivens sp. JLT3646. RNAcentral's name for it is "TPP riboswitch aptamer (THI element)". It matches the Rfam family "TPP riboswitch aptamer (THI element)". From Rfam's summary of the family: Vitamin B(1) in its active form thiamin pyrophosphate (TPP) is an essential coenzyme that is synthesised by coupling of pyrimidine and thiazole moieties in bacteria. The previously detected thiamin-regulatory element, thi box was extended, resulting in a new, highly conserved RNA secondary structure, the THI element, which is widely distributed in eubacteria and also occurs in some archaea. Analysis of operon structures identified a large number of new candidate thiamin-regulated genes, mostly transporters, in various prokaryotic organisms. RNAcentral also lists the same sequence under 1 other name. The record is from Rfam by way of RNAcentral. Lineage: Bacteria; Pseudomonadati; Pseudomonadota; Alphaproteobacteria; Rhodobacterales; Paracoccaceae.